Molecule: non-coding RNA, 46 nt
Organism: Leptosomus discolor (cuckoo roller)
Lineage: Eukaryota; Metazoa; Chordata; Aves; Leptosomiformes; Leptosomidae
Source: Rfam
CCAAAGGCUCUUUUAAGAGCCACCCACUUACUCCGUGAAAAGAGCU